This 562-nucleotide ribosomal RNA is filed under the name uncultured bacterium. RNAcentral's name for it is "partial 16S ribosomal RNA". It matches the Rfam family "Bacterial small subunit ribosomal RNA", at positions 355 to 912 of the family's 1533-position model. The record is from RNAcentral.
UGGGGAAUUUUGGACAAUGGGCGAAAGCCUGAUCCAGCAAUGCCGCGUGUGUGAAGAAGGCCUUCGGGUUGUAAAGCACUUUUGUCCGGAAAGAAAUCCUUGGCUCUAAUACAGUCGGGGGAUGACGGUACCGGAAGAAUAAGCACCGGCUAACUACGUGCCAGCAGCCGCGGUAAUACGUAGGGUGCAAGCGUUAAUCGGAAUUACUGGGCGUAAAGCGUGCGCAGGCGGUUUGCUAAGACCGAUGUGAAAUCCCCGGGCUCAACCUGGGAACUGCAUUGGUGACUGGCAGGCUAGAGUAUGGCAGAGGGGGGUUAGAAUUCCACGUGUAGCAGUGAAAUGCGUAGAGAUGUGGAGAAUACCGAUGGCGAAGGCAGCCCCCUGGGCCAAUACUGACGCUCAUGCACGAAAGCGUGGGGAGCAAACAGGAUUAGAUACCCUGGUAGUCCACGCCCUAAACGAUGUCAACUAGUUGUUGGGGAUUCAUUUCCUUAGUAACGUAGCUAACGCGUGAAGUUGACCGCCUGGGGAGUACGUCGCAAGAUUAAAACUCAAAGAAUUG